UACGUAGGGGGCUAGCGUUGUCCGGAAUCAUUGGGCGUAAAGCGCGUGUAGGCGGCCCGGUAAGUCCGCUGUGAAAGUCGGGGGCUCAACCCUCGGAUGCCGGUGGAUACUGUCGGGCUCGAGUACGGAAGAGGCGAGUGGAAUUCCUGGUGUAGCGGUGAAAUGCGCAGAUAUCAGGAGGAACACCUAUUGCGAAGGCAGCUCGCUGGGACGUCACUGACGCUGAGACGCGAAAGCGUGGGAAGCAAACAGG
Molecule: ribosomal RNA, 253 nt
Filed under: uncultured bacterium
Lineage: Bacteria
Description: partial 16S ribosomal RNA
Rfam family: Bacterial small subunit ribosomal RNA
Source: RNAcentral